GUCCUUUAGAAUUUAAUUUAAGGUCUAACCUGCCCAAUGAAAGAUUUAAAUGGCCGCAGUAUUUUGACUGUGCAAAGGUAGCAUAAUCAUUAGUUUUUUAAUUGAAAGCUUGUAUGAAGGGUUGGACGAGAUAAAAACUGUCUUAAGUUAAUUUAUUAUAGAAUUUAAUUUUUAAGUUAAAAAGCUUAAAUUUUAUUAAAAGACGAGAAGACCCUAUAGAUCUUUAUAAUUAAUAUUUUAAUUAAAUUUUAGAAUUAUUUAUUAUUUAUAAUAUUAAUUAUUUUAUUGGGGUAAUAUAAAGAUUAAAUUAAUUCUUUAUUUAUUUUUACAUUAAUUUAUGAGUAUUUGAUCCAUUAUUAUUGAUUAUAAGAUUAAGUUACCUUAGGGAUAACAGCGUAAUUUUUUUAGAGAGUUCAUAUCGAUAAAAAAGUUUGCGACCUCGAUGUUGGAUUAAAAAUUAUCUUAGGUGCAGAAGUUUAAGAUUUUGGUCUGUUCGACCAUUAAAUUUUUACA
This 513-nucleotide ribosomal RNA is filed under the name Megadytes robustus. Its description in RNAcentral is "partial 16S ribosomal RNA". The stretch from base 387 to 513 matches the Rfam family "Bacterial large subunit ribosomal RNA", at positions 2473 to 2600 of the family's 2925-position model. Lineage: Eukaryota; Metazoa; Arthropoda; Insecta; Coleoptera; Dytiscidae. The record is from RNAcentral.